Ribosomal RNA from Erinaceus europaeus (western European hedgehog), 126 nucleotides. The record is from Ensembl. Lineage: Eukaryota; Metazoa; Chordata; Mammalia; Eulipotyphla; Erinaceidae.
GUCUAUGGCCAUACCACUCUGAACACACCCGAUCUCGUCUGAUCUCAGAAGCUAAGCAGGCUCGGGCCUGGUUAGUACUUGGAUGGGAGAAAGUGCUUGAAAGAGACUUCCAGGACAGUGGAGGGU